This 37-nucleotide small RNA is filed under the name Arabidopsis thaliana (thale cress). RNAcentral's name for it is "ATSL163340". The record is from RNAcentral. Lineage: Eukaryota; Viridiplantae; Streptophyta; Magnoliopsida; Brassicales; Brassicaceae.
AGAUCACGAAAAGGCCCGAAAAAGUACAUUUAGUUCA